RNAcentral lists this ribosomal RNA (465 nucleotides) under uncultured bacterium. Its description in RNAcentral is "partial 16S ribosomal RNA". It matches the Rfam family "Bacterial small subunit ribosomal RNA", at positions 28 to 507 of the family's 1533-position model. The record is from RNAcentral.
GUCGAACGCUGGCGGCGUGCCUAACACAUGCAAGUCGAACGGAAAGGCCCGUUCGGGGGUACUCGAGUGGCGAACGGGGGAGGAACACGUGAGUAAGCUGCCCACAACUUUGGGACAACGCUAGGAAACUGGAACCAAUACUGGAUAUGUACUCUUUCUUCAUGGUGGGGGUUGGAUAGUUCCGGCGGUUGUGGAUGGACCUGCGGCCUAUCAGCUUGUCGGUGUGGUAGUGGCCUACCGAGGCGGCUACGGGUAGCCGGGCUGGGAGGGUGACCGGCCACAUUGGGACUGAGAUACGGCCCCGGCUCCUACGCGAGGCAGCGGUGGGAAAUAUUGCACGAUGGGCGCCGGCCUGAUGCAGAAGCGCCGCGGGCGGGAUAACGGCCUUCGGGUUGUAAACCGAUUUCAGCAGGGACGAAGCUUUUUGUGACGGUACCUGCAGAAGAAGCACCGGCUAACUACGUG